This 536-nucleotide ribosomal RNA is filed under the name uncultured bacterium. Its description in RNAcentral is "partial 16S ribosomal RNA". It matches the Rfam family "Bacterial small subunit ribosomal RNA", at positions 355 to 881 of the family's 1533-position model. The record is from RNAcentral.
UGGGGAAUUUUGGACAAUGGGCGAAAGCCUGAUCCAGCAAUGCCGCGUGUGUGAAGAAGGCCUUCGGGUUGUAAAGCACUUUUGUCCGGAAAGAAAUCCUUGGCUCUAAUACAGUCGGGGGAUGACGGUACCGGAAGAAUAAGCACCGGCUAACUACGUGCCAGCAGCCGCGGUAAUACGUAGGGUGCAAGCGUUAAUCGGAAUUACUGGGCGUAAAGCGUGCGCAGGCGGUUUGCUAAGACCGAUGUGAAAUCCCCGGGCUCAACCUGGGAACUGCAUUGGUGACUGGCAGGCUAGAGUAUGGCAGAGGGGGGUAGAAUUCCACGUGUAGCAGUGAAAUGCGUAGAGAUGUGGAGGAAUACCGAUGGCGAAGGCAGCCCCCUGGGCCAAUACUGACGCUCAUGCACGAAAAGCGUGGGGAGCAAAACAGGAUUAGAUACCCUGGUAGUCCACGCCCUAAAACGAUGUCAACUAGUUGUUGGGGAUUCAUUUCCUUAGUAACGUAGCUAACGCGUGAAGUUGACCGCCUGGGGAGU